CCUUCGACGGAACAGCAAAUGGAUAAAUAACCCUAGGUCUCCUUAAUCUCUCUCAGCUGAUUUCCUUCGUCUCUUUCAUAUCAUCUUCUACAUCUCUCUCAAUACAUCGACUCAUCUUCUCCAUCUCUUCAAUUCAUCUGAGUUGGUGUUGAUUAUGGGUACUUGAUAAUGGUUUACUUUCAGACAAGAAAGCCUUUCCAGGCCAUGGUUUCUAUUACGUUCUUUCUAAACCUGAGAUGAGUAAUGCUCUUGCCCUUGCUGUAAAAUCUGAAUCGGUUGUGCAGAGGAUGAUGAUCGUGGAGUUGCUCACACUUGCUUCCAGUGCAACAAAUCAUGAUAUUAUUAAGUUUUUAGAAAGUGUUGGGGCAGAGUUUGGUGCUUGUCAAAAUGCUACAACGUCGGCAGAUGAAACGAUAUAUGAAUUGCUUGUGCCUGUCGUCAAGCUUGAACUACUAUCACAAGCUAUAUCAGUUCUAGUAGAGUUUUGCUAUGAGGUUCGAGUUUCAGCAGAAGAUUUGGAAAAAGAAAAGAGGUGCUGUUUUGGAAGAAAAUAGAGGAACUCGCAAUAUUAAUGGUCGGAUGCAAGAUGCACACUGGAAUUUGAUGAUGGAAGGAUCAAAGACUGACACCAAAAAGAUAUCCGCCGUGUCUAUGUUUUUUGAGACAAUGCUAUACCGAUUGGAUGAGAACACGUGUUACAUUGAUUAUGAUCAGUUGGAGAAAAGCGCUACACUCUUCAGGCCAAAACUGAUAGUUGCUGGUGCAAGUGCUUAUUCACGCUUCUAUGAUUAUGCACGCAUUCACCAGGUGUGCGACAAGCAAAAGGCUAUAUUGUUGGCAGAUAUGGCACAUAUCAGUGGUCUUGUUGCUGCUGGGUCAUCCCAUCCCCAUUUGAGUAUGCUGAUAUGGUGACCACCACGACACAUAAUAAAUUCCUUCGUCGACCACAUGGGUCGAUGAUUUUUUACGGAAAGGGGUUGAAGGAAGUCAACAAACAAGGCAGAGGCAACUACCCUAGAGUACAAGGCUUAUCAAGAACAAGUUCUCAAAAAUGGCUCACAGUUUGCCGAAGGUAUUGAUGGCUCAAGAGUUGAGAAAGUAAGGGGGGGACCAAUUGGUAAGAUUGGUGUUGCCAUUGAUGGCUCAAGAGUUGAGAAAGUAAGGGGGGGACUAAUUGGUAAAAUUGGUGUUACCCGGAUUACUGGAUAGUUCUGAGCCAUCUUGAGGUAGCAUUUAAAGUGUGGAAGUCGGGGAGGGUAAGUCUCAUCUAAGUGAUGAGUUAGUUCCCAUAUAUGAGUGCCCCAUGGGACGGGAUGCGUGUUAUCAGAGGAUAUCCCAGACCUAGGGUUAAGUGUUUCCAAGAGUAAUCAAGCUUUCCAAGCCUCACCAAUUGGCGAUAGUGUGUCCCAUAUUUUUUCCUUAUAAACUGGAUCUACAAACCUGGUAUUAUGGACUAUUAAUUUUGUUAAUUGUGUCUAAAAAAAUGAAAGAAACUAGGGGCAAAUACGUUAUCGGGCGGACCAUAUUUAAUACUAGGAAUUACCAAUAGGUACCAUUAUAGUGUUCUUAGUUAGUGGCAGGUCCACCCAUUAAAGCCCACUAAUCAGAGGUCCAUAAUUAAAAGAAAACAUGAAAAUGGACCAAUUUUUUUAAGCCCAGGUCCUGCACACGUGUGGGAUAUACUACGCGCAUUUUUGAAAUUCCCAAAACACCCUUAUGUAUAUAAAAGCUGGGUAACUAAAUUUCAUUUUACUUUUUUGUUUUCAUUUUAAUUUCUCAUAUCCAAACCGGGAGAGCUGCUAGAAGAGAAUUUUUUUCUUAGGUUUUCAUCGCCGAAUGCGAGAAUUAUUUCGAUUUUGUUUGAUUAACCGAGAUUUAGUUAGUUUUAAUGUUGUUUUAUUUUAUUUUAAGCUAUUUAGAUCUGGAUUUUCACUGUAAUGGAGAAAUUCAAUUGAGAUACGUACAUGAAGUUGUUGCUACCUACAGAUCAAGAUAAUCAACAAAGAAUCAGUCAAGAUAAAUCAUAUUGUAUAUACGAUGCACUGCAGAAAAAUCACAGUAUAUAUACGCUGCACUGCUGAACAAUCAUAACUUAAAAGCAGCACUCCAGAUAAAAUCGCAGUGCAUAAACUAUGUAUUGACAAGUGGGUGAAGGAAAGUGCAUAAAAGCAUUACAUAAAAGCAUCACUCCAGAGGAAAGGCAAGCUUGAAGUCCAAAAUAAUCUCUGAAGAGGUUUAUUAUCCUCUAGCAUAUGCUUAGUUUCUGGAGAAGACGUUACACUAGUUCCUGAAGAAGAUGUUGCUUCUUGGUCUUCUUCAAAUAAGGAUAAUCUCAUGAUGUUUGAUUUCUUAUGAUAACACAUUUUUUAUUUGGAUGAAUACAUGUUUAUACAUGUGCAUGGUAAAACUAAAGCUCAUGAGGAUCUUCAUACUACAAGUCUUAUUAAUGCAUGCAUAUAACAUCUUUUUAGCUUGAUUAUUUGAACCAAUAAUAAGUGGUUUAGUUCUUAUAUGUGCGGGUUAGAGAUAGAAAGUUGAUUGACUACUAUUGUAGGUUUUAUCUUGGUUGCAGCAUGACUUGCUGAGAUAGAGAAACCCAAGUUGCAUCUGACAUGUAUCUAAUACCACCAAAGUAUGUCUCAUUGGUCUCCAUGUCUGCAUAUUGAUACUCAUUUUUAUCUGUUGUUCAUCAUGGCUGUGUCAAUAUUGUUAGGUUUUGGUCACAUUUACAGGUUCAAGAUGUCUAGUUCUAAUCUAAACACUAAGAACUUUUUGAAUAUACCAUUUAUGUUCUGGAAAUUCACAUUUACAGGUUCAAGAGUUUAACGCACAUAGACUCAUAUAUGCAAUCGAUGCUGCUAAACAAGUUAAACCGGGAUUUGGGAAGAGCAAUUUCAUUCUUCUGGGAACUACAGAAGGGUAACUUGUGAAAAUUAUGGAGGAAAGCCUUGCAUACCUGGAGUUAAAAGUGAAUGAAAGUGUUUUCAGUCAUUAUUUUUCUUUCAGUGCAUCCAUUAUGCACUCACUUUCUCAGUAUGUAUCAGAUGUACUGAUUUUUUGGUUGUAUGUGAAGUACUUGAAAUUAGUAUGUAAUAAACCAACACGCCUUGGUUUU
This is an RNA transcript of Papaver somniferum (opium poppy), 3115 nucleotides long. It is a transcript of the gene named serine hydroxymethyltransferase, mitochondrial-like, with no coding region annotated. The record is from RefSeq and is a predicted model, not a curated record. NCBI's taxonomy places the organism in Eukaryota, Viridiplantae, Streptophyta, Magnoliopsida, Ranunculales, Papaveraceae. The transcript is spliced from 11 exons.